Molecule: unclassified non-coding RNA, 247 nt
Filed under: Hevea brasiliensis (rubber tree)
Lineage: Eukaryota; Viridiplantae; Streptophyta; Magnoliopsida; Malpighiales; Euphorbiaceae
Source: RNAcentral
AUUCCACCUUUUAUGAUCUGGGGAGACUCCUAAGCAUGAUUCCCUUAUUCUGUCCGCACAAACCAAGUGAUCAAGACUCAUUUCCAAUUCUUCAAAUGAGCCCAUCCAUUGAGACCCUCUCUAACCAGCCACCACAGACAUGAUUAAGGUUCAAUUCCAAAUCUUGAAGAAAAUGGGUGGAAUGAACUAUUCCUAUUUUAGGUAGACAGAAACUCUCUCUCAUUAAGAAACAAGAUAGCACCAUGGG